GACGAACGCUGGCGGCGUGCCUAAUACAUGCAAGUCGAGCGAAGUUUUUCUGGUGCUUGCACUAGAAAAACUUAGCGGCGAACGGGUGAGUAACACGUAAAGAACCUGCCUCAUAGACUGGGACAACUAUUGGAAACGAUAGCUAAUACCGGAUAACAGCAUUAACUGCAUGGUUGAUGUUUAAAAGUUGGUUAUGCUAACACUAUGAGAUGGCUUUGCGGUGCAUUAGCUAGUUGGUGGGGUAAAGGCCUACCAAGGCGACGAUGCAUAGCCGACCUGAGAGGGUGAUCGGCCACACUGGGACUGAGACACGGCCCAGACUCCUACGGGAGGCAGCAGUAGGGAAUCUUCCGCAAUGGGCGAAAGCCUGACGGAGCAACGCCGCGUGAGUGAAGAAGGAUUUCGGUUCGUAAAGCUCUGUUGUUAGGGAAGAAUGAUUGUGUAGUAACUAUACACAGUAGAGACGGUACCUAACCAGAAAGCCACGGCUAACUACGUGCCAGCAGCCGCGGUAAUACGUAGGUGGCAAGCGUUGUCCGGAAUUAUUGGGCGUAAAGCGCGCGCAGGUGGUUUAAUAAGUCUGAUGUGAAAGCCCACGGCUCAACCGUGGAGGGUCAUUGGGAACUGUUAAACUUGAGUGCAGGAGAGAAAAGUGGAAUUCCUAGUGUAGCGGUGAAAUGCGUAGAGAUUAGGAGGAACACCAGUGGCGAAGGCGGCUUUUUGGCCUGUAACUGACACUGAGGCGCGAAAGCGUGGGGAGCAAACAGG
RNAcentral lists this ribosomal RNA (768 nucleotides) under uncultured bacterium. RNAcentral's name for it is "bacterial SSU rRNA". It matches the Rfam family "Bacterial small subunit ribosomal RNA", at positions 28 to 776 of the family's 1533-position model. The record is from RNAcentral.